CAGCACCUCAAGUGGUCAGGAUGAUUAUUGGGCCUAAAGCAUCCGUAGCCGGCGCUGUAAGUUUUCGGUUAAAUCUGUACGCUCAACGUACAGGCUGCCGGGAAUACUGCAGCGCUAGGGAGUGGGAGAGGUAGACGGUACUCGGUAGGAAGGGGUAAAAUACUUUGAUCUAUUGAUGACCACCUGUGGCGAAGGCGGUCUACCAGAACACGUCCGACGGUGAGGGAUGAAAGCUGGGGGAGCAAACCGGAUUAGAGACCCGUGUAGUCC
This 270-nucleotide ribosomal RNA is filed under the name uncultured archaeon. Its description in RNAcentral is "partial 16S ribosomal RNA". It matches the Rfam family "Archaeal small subunit ribosomal RNA", at positions 477 to 747 of the family's 1478-position model. The record is from RNAcentral.